Gallus gallus (chicken) is the source of this 19945-nucleotide long non-coding RNA. RefSeq lists it as uncharacterized. The transcript is spliced from 3 exons. Lineage: Eukaryota; Metazoa; Chordata; Aves; Galliformes; Phasianidae. The record is from RefSeq and is a predicted model, not a curated record.
CCUCAGGCAGCGGCGGAGCGCGGUGCCCGGCGGGCGGGAGACAGGGAGAGCGGCGUCCCGCAGGCACCGCCCGCAAACUUUGUUUCUCCCCGCCCCAGCCUCAACCCCAGCCCCAACUCCAGCCCUAGCUGUGCCGAGCCGGCGAGGGGAGGGAGGGAGAGAGCUGCGGGGGCCGGCCGAGCGCUGAAGGGGCCGCUGGCGGCGGGGGCAGAGACGGCUGUAGGGGAAUCCGGAGCCCCUGGGCGCGCAGUGCUGGGCGCUGGCACACCUGCGGGCAGGUGGCCUGCUCCGCCGCCGGCUCUGUGAGCUCGAAGGGGAUCAGUCACAGACAGGCUGAGGCUGAACAUCCUGCGUCCGCCUGAGUCUGUGCCCCUCUGGCCCACCCCUGCUCUAGCAGGUACCGAUGGCCAGGCGGCAUCUCAACAUCCCCAAGGAGGAGACCCCACAGCCUCUGGGCAACCUGUGCCAGUGCUUCGGCACCGCACAGCAAGGCAGUGCUGCCUGGUGCUCAGAAGGAGUCCCUGUGCCCAUUGCCUCCUGUCCUGCAAAUGGCCCAGCAGCCUGUGGCCAUCAGCUGUGUGAGCCACAGCCAGGUCCCACUGCACCUCCACUUCUAACACUUCUUCGUUGAUACAGGGAUAGAUUUUCUGAAUUCACAGAAUUUACUCAUAGCUACGGAGCAGUAAGAAAUUAAGCACCCGAUGUCAUUAAAAACACCCCCAGUCUUCGGCAGCAUCAAUAACUUCUUCCCCCUUCAUGACAGUGCAAAAGCAAGAACAAACCCUGCACACCCUGUUUUGUUACUGAUGUUACUACUGGCAGUAAACACAGGUGUUUUUUUUUUCCUCAGUUUUCUUUCGAAAAAUCUUUAACUCCUCCCGGGUAACAGUGAAGGAUAUUCAGUUUGAUCUAAUAAACUGCACAAUUUGAUGCCGACUGGAAUGCUUCACAAAUAAUAUAAAUACAGUCACACCUGCAGAAUACUUCACUGAAUUAUGCUUGAAGAACACCACUUGUACCUGGAUAAUAACAAAAGAGCAUGGACAAUCCUCAGAGUUGUUCCUGUGCUUUGCUAGGGAACAAAAACUGAUCAGAAGCUCAGCACUCAGUAAUAGAACUCAUGACCACUCAAUCUACAGGAGAAAAAUGAGUUUUUUGUGAACUGCAGCGACAGCUAUUUUUACAACACACACAGUAUUUUCAUGUCAAGAAAACUGGAAUAAAGUAUUUGUAACACAAAGUGUUUCAAGCACUUAUGUGGGGACAAGAUGAAUCCUCUCUUCCUCUCCAGUAGCAACAAAUGUUGGCCAGGGCAACCUGCCUAGGCUGGAUGCUUCACUCAGGAGUAUUCUAAAUGGAACAUUUAAUUGGUGACCCUACAUGAGUUGGUGAGUUACUAAAAUACUGUGAAGCAAACAUCUCUAAAUUAGAUAAUGAUUAUAAUGAUAAUGAUAGCAACAGGAAUCUCUAAUAUACAGUUACCACAUAAUUGGCAAAAAUAAUAAAACAUGUAGAAGUAAUUGCUAAAGAUAUUUUUUAAAGUCUUGGCUGUAAAGUUUUCUAUCUAUAAAAACAACAGCAGACAACUUCCUUCAACAUCUUCAUCCCUGCCAGACAUGGCAGAAAAGUCAGUGCUUGUGGUUUAAUACAUCUGAACAACCAUUCCUGACUUCAUUUGAGGAAGGGAUGCAUACUGCUACCAGGCUGCUUCGUUGGCAGUGCGUGGCCUCAGUGGGAAUUCAGAUGUGGCCUCAAGGCCAUGCAUAGAUCUGGGAGACCCCAUAUCUCCUUGCCAUGUGUAAUAAAAUGUAUAUUAUAUAUAUUUAUAUGAUACUAUAAUAUAUAAAUUAUUUUCUACCAAGACAAUCACUUUAAGUGCUCCAGAAUCAUUUUAACUGCUACUAAUUGGUUUGUGUCACCAGUUACAAAUGAAUAAAAGCCCCAUUAAAUGAACUGCAUCCAAACUCUAGCAAUUUCAAUGCUAGAGCAUUACAAAGCAUGAGAUUUCCAGGUACUUUUUAAAAUUUCUGAUAAUUUGUUCAAAGAAUAGUACAUUGCAUGAAUCCAGGUCAAGCUGAACAAGGUCAAGCAUGUGCUAUAAAUGUAUGUACUAUCCCGAGGCAAUUCUAUUUGUAGGCUUUGACAUACCAUCAAAUAUUUUGGUGGCUAAUCUACAGAACCAGGAAAGCAAUUGCUUAGUGGUUGUAUUCCCUAAAAAUUACUACAAAAAAAAAUCACAUAACAUGAAUUUAUGCAUUAGAUCUUCAGGACCUGGUCUAAAAACAGACAACCACUCCUGGGAUUCUGUAUUUAAUACACAUAUAUUUCCUUACAGCAUGUGCAGCAAUUAAACACAGGAAAAAUAAUAAUGGAAACAAUAUAUUCUCCACCUUUUUCAGUCUUCAGACUGACUGGGUGUAUUUCAGCAAAUGUGCUCCAACUAAACACAAAUUAUGAGACUUUAAAUGGAGACACUUAGGAAGAACAAUGAUUUGAUAAUUCCUUCAUGAAUCCUUCAUGAUUCCUUCAUGAAGCACUUUUUUGCUCAAAGAAAAAAUAAGGUUGUUUUUUUUUCCCAUUGCUACUUCUAUGUACUGAACCCGGAUGUUAUAAUUUUCAUGAUGUGAGGAAUGCAACAUUAUUUGUGUGGAGGAUUUUUUAUUAUUGCCUACUCCGGUUCCCAAAUGCAAGAAAAAAGAAUACAUACGUUGCCAUAAAGAGGUUCCUAAAGUCUUGUGCACAUUUUUAAGGGACUUCUCUGGUUCUGAUACUAUGGAAAAGUGACCAAAAGUUUCUUACCACCACCUUAAACCUGAAGUUAAGAAGGUGUUCUGGGAAUGGGACUGGGAAUGAGUUUUUGCCCCUUUCUUCGUCACCAUGUCAAUCACUGACCACUGACUUGUUUGCUUUAAACACUGUUGUCUUCAGAAAAGAUAGUGCAGCUGCCUACCCUUCUGUACAUCUUAAUUAUCUUUACCUUGCACUGUGCCCAUCGACUACUAGGUAUAAGAUAUUACACUUAUAAUUGAAACACUUUAAUCACUUUCCAAAUACAUCAACAAUCAAAAAAUCUUUGUGUAAUAUGUCAUCUAAAAGAAAGGUGAAAGGCUUCCCCUUAAAACGUGAGGGACAGCUCCUACACGUCCUUCUGAGAUGCAAUCCAGGCCAAGUUUUAUGUGACUUUUGGUCUAUCUUCACAACCUCCAGCCUUCAUGGAGCAGAGACAUCCAAUGCAUUUCAGAAAGGCAAAACUGAUAUAUAUCAUCACUGGGCUCCAAAAAAGAGUUAGUUAAAUUAUCUCCUUCCCCCCCCCAAAAGGAAAAAAUGAAGUUGAAAACUCAGCCUUUAUCAAAUUCUAGGAAUCCCACAUAAAUGGGAGAAUUAAUGCUGGUAUUACCUUGGAGGAUUCACAAUUCUCCAGAUGUAUUAUUUAAGUAGUACUUCAAGAUCCUUAUAAGCGCUGCCCAGUCAGACUAUAACAGUGUUAUUAGGUGUACUAACAACCUGUUUCUCACUGCAAUUUGAUAAAUGUGAGAACUGUACAGACAUCCUCAUGCCCACAGAGGGGAAUGUGGCAGGUCCAGCCAUGCAGAAGAACAGGGCAGGCCAUAGAAAGCUACAGGUCCUUGACAAGAUAACGGCUGUUUUUACUGCUUCCCAAAAUACAAAAAAUAGCUGGCUUUGCCUUAGCAUUUUCUUGAUUGUAACUAACAUAGUCACGAAAGCCAUUCUAAUCCCUGCAUAUUCCCAGGCCUCAGUUCCCUGUCCAUGGGCCAAGUCCUGCAGCAUGGACCACCAGUGGUCUCCUAUUCUCCUCAACGUUUCAUGAUAGCAUGACCACUCCUACAUCAUAUCCUCAGCAAUCAGGAUACCAGUAUUCUAAAUUGCAUUUUUAAAAAGUCAAUACAUUUUGCAUUUUCUCAGUGUUCCAUAUGAAGCAGCCACAUUUUUCCCUCUGCUGAACCGAUAACAACAAAUUUUUCCAUUCUGCUUCUUUUGGCAUUUGCUACUGGAAGGUCAACUCCACCCUAAGUAGCAAGCUAGGUCCACAGUACAGAUUUCUACCAAAAUAGCUUUGCUGACUGACACAGCUGUUCUGGGAGAAUUCCCUAGUUGUUAGUGCAAGUGUGGUUAUAUCAGCAAAACAGUGUUCUAUUAGUGCUGCUUGUUUUGUGUACCCACUUCUGGACUCAUCUGCUGGUUCCCAGUGCCAGAAAAGUGUUCCUGUUCCUGUUCCUGCUGCCUGAACAGCCUGUGCCAAUGGAAGUCUACCUGUAAGUAAUUUGGCCCCAGAAAGGAUUAUUUAAAAGCUUUGCACGUUUUAAGACCACAUACAGAUGUGAAGAACUGAAGGAAGCAGCUUUCAUGUCUCUUCCAAAACACAGAUUUCAAUUUCUGAGAAAGAAAUUUAGUAAUUUUAACAACGUGUGGAAGGAGAAGUAGUAACUUUUUUUUUUCCCCUAGAAACAGGAUGCUUUCAGGUCCAUGGAGAUAUCAGUUUUAAUUUCUUAAACAAUGAAGUAGGAUUGCUUGUCCUGCAGUUGGUAUUCUGUAUUAUGCCUUAAUGAACAUAAAUGAAAUCUGGAAAACGAAAUCUCUCUCUUGCUUUAACGCUAAUAUUAGUCACGCUUGAAAGCUGGCUGUGAUUAUUUAAAUAACAUAUUUAGGUUUCCCCUCUGAUGUUUACCAUAAAACCCCCAAAACAAAAUAAAUCACACUUUUUCUAAAUUGCAGAGGGAGCUGCUAAUGGCCCAGCAUGCAGUAACGCGGCACAGCGAGCUCACAGGUAGCUGGGAGGUCAGCAGUGGAGCAGAAAGCCUUUACACAGCUAAGUAUUUCUAUUUUGAUUAAAGUAAUUUCACACCUUCCUGAUCACAAGGCAACCUACAAACCACAAGGUGUUUGAGAACUCAGGAAAACGUAUUACUUUAUGGUACUUCAUCAGGGUGAGAAAUAAAGAGCGUGGAAAUAAAAAUGUACAUGCUCUUCUGAGGUUAAAAAAGUUUGUUUUCCAAUUUUUUUGAGAAAGAACCCCACAGAAAACAAUGUUAAGCUGUUAAAAAAAUCGUGAAAAAGCAUGCAUAGAGGCUAUCUGCUCUUUAUUUAGAUCUCAAUCCACCCUUUUUUUUCUCCAAGACAGAAAAUUGGCACAGAAUAACUUUCUUUAUAAUGAAACCCACCAGCUUAGAAACAAGCUGCAGGUAUUCACAUAUACUCUCAAACAAUAUUUCCCCUACCUGCGCACUCCACAGAAGGUUCACAAAAUGUCCUAUAUGAGGUCAUUGUAAUUUAUUUCUGAAACUGGAACUUCAUGAAACAUGAUUUGUUUCUGUCUGUAAUUCAGCCCUCAGCACCUAAGUGACCAAAGUAGUGGGGAAAAGCUGUGCUUGAACAGUUUGGGAGCACAGUGUACUGCAGCAAGGAAUGUGCAGAGGUAACAAACGCACUGUGUUGAUGCAGCUAUCUGCUGGUGUUACCUAACAAAAGAUACUGUGGAAAAGCACCCUGUUAUCUCUGUGCUUUUAUUUUUCCAGAACAAAAUAAAAUUACUGAGAUUGUGUUUUGCAAACGAUAGGUGACAAUGAAAAAUGAAAACAGGCUGGAAAGCAAGGUAUGUAUCUGCCACCCACUGACUCCUGUCCCUGCAGCACCUACAGCUGAGACUGCUGCUAAAAUGCAGGUCUGGUCAGAUGUCUGCCAUGAGACUAUUACAUUAUCAUUGAGUGGUAAAAGCUUUGGUGAGUCCAAAUGUCAGCACUGGAAGGGGACAUUUAUCUUGCAAAGUCAGUAACCUAAUUUUGGUAUAACCCAUAGAAGGUUAAUGUACAUGAAGCAGGGAUUAAUUUGGAAAGUUCUGUGCCUAUCCAUUAUCUGUUUUUCUUGCAGAAAAACUUGUUGGAAACAUCCCACCCCACAUCCCUCUGCAUUACUACGAUGCAGAACAGACACACAGCUGUGCUGUGUAAAGCCCUGCAGGGACACACUAUAUCCACCUGGCAAAGCACACUCCUUCCAAACGCCUGCAUGUCUCCUGGUUUUCAAUUCACUAAGGAAACACCUUAAUUGGAAUGGUCAGCUCUGACCCCACAGGCAGAGCUGGAGCCAGUCAUGUGCACUGGGACUAGCCAGCAAGAACAAUGAAAAUAGCUCUCCAAGCAGAUCUAAAAGAGCAAGAGAAAUAUAUAUUUUUAUCUACUGAAGUCAUGUUUAACUGACAAAAUCACAAAUUUUAGCUUUAUAGCUUUUUAGCUGUUGUAUACUUCACACUGUCUUUUCUGCUGGGGAACAUAUGCUGUUAUUACACUGCUCUCAUUUCCACAGUGUUUGAGUCAGAGCAGUGUCUCUUCAGCCUUGAUCAUACAGUCACAUGAAUCCCAAAAUCCCAUUGCUGAUGAAAAACACUUUUUUUCUCUUUCGCUUGUUUUUGUUCUGGUAAUCUACAGCUAGAUCUGAGUGAGUAAGUGCAGUACCAAGGCACAGUGUGAGCCACUGGAACUCGAUCACUUAUUGCUACACUGUUAGAAGUCCCUCACAAGGUAUCAGCCUGAACUACUCAUGCUCCUCCAAUAAAUCCUUCGUUCAGUAGUUACAGCAGGCCAGAAAUCACUUCCAAAAUGGGGUUCUGGAUGGUGAGAGAGCUGCACAAUAUGGCUUUGCAUAAUUUGGUGCCAGCUGGACUGAGUGCCAGUGAGCAAGCCCGUGUGCUUCAAUGCUGCUCAGAGGAAACUUAUUUCUCUCAGAUAUGACACUACUGGAGAUGUCAAACUGCCAGGCACAAAUUUGACUGCAGGUACAAAAUGCAAUGUUUACUUGCCAAACAACUGAUUUGGCUUCAAAUCACUCUGUUACAGAUAAACUUAGGGAAGAAGUAAGCUGUCUGAAAGCUGCCAAUUAGCUACGUUAUCAUUGUAUUAAUGCGUUCAAAUAUGAUUCAAAACACUGUACAUAAAGUUUUCAUUGCUGUGAGUAACCUGAAACACUCAGAAUACCUUUCACACUUUGCAGAUCAUCUUGUGUCAAGCCCCCACCACUUCUUGGGUGGCUGUGUGGCUGCUGGUAGAUGUAUGGUCUGGCCAGAUGCAGGCAUUGGCAGCAUGCUCCUGCCUCGCCAAACCACCCUGCAUGCGGCGCUCUCCUACCCCACAGCUUGUUUGGUCAAAAACACCACUGCAGCCUUCCAAGGAAUAACUAACACACUGCUACCUUCUCAGAUGCACAUAUAACAUAAGACAACUUCUGAGGUCCGUGGCUUUCCCACUCUGAAGCCAUGGGCCAAUUCACAGACAUCCAACAGGCAGCUUGCCUUCUGUACCCAGACCAGGCUAACUGCCCACUAAGCUGGAAUUCCUCCUAUAUGCACGUGUGUCUGCCUCUAUGAACAUACAUGUACAUGUACAUUAACAUAUAAAUACAUGCACGCAGACAUGCAUAAAAAAUGUUAUUCUGUGUUUAUCUGCACACACUUGCAUCUAUACCAUAGUAACAGUUUUAUAUCUUAGAACGUAUAGGAGUAGAUGAUCAAGUGAAAAAAGUAAUCAAGACAACAGCCCAUCUGUUUAACAUAAUUAAACAGUAACAAAAUAAUCUUACAUAUAAACUGUAUGUUAAAAAUAAUCAAUAUAAAUCAGUUUUUAUUAAAAAACAUAAGAUCAUUAAACUAUGUUCCCAUAAACUGCAGCUAAGUAGUACGUAAGCUGUUUUACAGAGGAGAUGAGAAACUCUCCCUCCCACUUAGAGAUCUGUCAGGAACUCUGGGUUCUCAGAACCCAGUAAGUCAAGCCAAUAAUUCUUUGAUUAUUUCUCCCCCCUCUGCCCCAUUCCUUUUGUUUCAGAAACAAAAUAAAAUAGAUACACAUUUUGUUAAUUAAAAUUCCUUUUUUUUUUUUUUCCUGUAUGAAUACUGGUUAUUGUUACUUUCUAAAAUAAUCUUUUGUGGAUUUAACAAAUGUCAGAUUUCCAUCAGAAUUCUGCACCAGCAUUCUUGUUUAGAAAGCUCUACAAAAUUCAGUUAGAAUAGAAGCAACCCACUAAUGCAAAUGAGUUAUUUGACUACAGCUUUUCUACAUUUGACUGUUAUGUAGUGCGUCAAAGAUAGCUUACUCUUUUCUUAAUUUUACAAUUGUGGGCCUUAAGGUAAUGUUUUAAUAUAGUUUAGUGAAUCAACUUCUCCUGUUUUUCUCUACACACUAUUCUAAAUCAGUCACUCCAUGUUUAAUAAUUUUAACAUUUGUGGUCAGUUUGGGGAAUAUCAGAUUGAGGGUCAUUUAAUAUAUAUGUGGCUUCAAUCCUGCAUGCAUGAACAGGGAACAGUGUUCUCUAAACACAAAUGUGACAAGGGAUUAUAUGUUUUAAACUGGCAUUUAAAUCUUACUCCACUCUGCAAUGUAAUAUGGGACAGAAAGCUAUACACAGUCCAGUUAAACUGCUGGUGCUGGUGUCUGUCAAAGACAUGAGGCUGCCUCUUGGCUUUGCUUACACCUGUGUAAUAGAGGGACACUCCCUGACCUCCUCUAGAUUAACUUUACAUUUGUUGCUUCAUAGAAGUCUAUCAGAUAAAUACAGAAAUCAGCUGAAUUAUGCCUUUUUUCUUUUAUAACAUCUUUUAUAAUUAAGCUACCAACAUGGCUAGAAUAUUGUCCUUAGGAGAGAGGUAAGUAUUCUUAAAUAGGACUAAAGAGAAGUAUCUUAAUACAGUGUUAAGCUCUUUAACUUGAAUAAUGAAAAACAGCAUUAACAUGAGUUACUCACACUUUUGCAAAAAGCCAAAUGAAACUUAUGGAUAACCUGUCAGAGUAAGGACAAGAGAGAUGUUCCUCUGUGUGCUGUUCUGAAUAAACCACAUGUAAACUUCAGGCUUUUGACAUCCACAAGGGACGGUGGCCCUCAGCCUCCUGUUUUUAUGUGCCAGACCAAACAGGGGACCAGAGACAAAUAGCGACAACGUAGAGAAUGAAAACGGCCAUAACAAGACAAACCAAAGGCCCAAUCAUUCAAUAUCCUGUCUAUGAGCAUGGCUAAUACCAACGCCUGAGAGCUGCAGGACAGAAAUAAAUCGGAUAGACCAAUCUGAAGUUAAUUUAUGAUUAAAAGAGAAUAUUAUGAAGAAGGACCAUAAUUUUCCCUUCAUUCCAUAUGAAGAAAAAUGGAAAACUUAUUCAGAAUUCCUAAGUAGGAAAAUCUUUUAAGGUCUACUUACUUUCAGUGAGAUCCAAACUCGCUCUUUGCUGAAGACAAAAAAGCAGUGAAAUGUAUUCACUUCUCUUUAGAGACUGGACAGAAGUGCCACAGCUCAUGGUGAGAGGUGACGAAAAGACAGGAAGAAGUGGGCUGAAGGUGGAACUGGAAAAUGCAGUUAAUUCUGUUACAGGUAAGAAUGACAGUUAACCCAAACUGGCUAAAGACUUCCCUACAAAGUAUUUUCUGAUGAAAUCAGAAUUUUUGGAGACAAGCCUAAGAGCAAAUGGAAACUAAGUUCAAGGACUUUCAAACGUUUUACCUGUGUGAUCACUGACUGUGAUUUCAGUUGGUUGUGUCCUGACUACAUCUCUGUAGAUAAGGAAAGAAAAGCAAUUAUGGAAUACAAAACUAUAAAGCUUAGAGUAACUAACAUGGAGAUAGAGGACGCAGUAAAAUUUACAUGGAAGUAUUACAAGCACGUUCCUCUGCCAUCUGCCUUAUCCGCCUGAUUUAAUUAUCUCUGUGGUCUGUUCAUUCAAACGUAGAUGAAAUUAUCCGAGGCGUUAUGAAACUACAAGGUGUUACGGAGGGUAGGCACAGGCUAAUAAAUCCUCUAUAGACACAUUCAUAAAGGGAUGACUGCAUGAAUCCAAUUUUCUUUAGCUACAUUUAUAGCAGUGAAGACUAAAGGGGCAGGACACUCACCCGUAACCACCCUGAUUACUUCUUAGCCAGCUGUCUCUCUGUGAUUUGACUCAAGCUAGCUGACCUUUCUCCAGAAGUGCGCUGCUCAGAAGGCAGCAUGGGCAUGGGAGGAGUCCAAUAGAUUUUAAGGAUGAGGAGAUCCCGCUAUGAAGAAAGCUUAAGAUAUGUUUGCCAUGUGGCCAUCAGUCAGAUCCUUCUCAGGACCAGGGAUGAUCUUUUUUCGUACCUUUAAGUGACCGUAAGACAUAAGAGGUGUCUCCAGUGGGAGACCUGCAGAUUCCUUUCCAUAUGUACCGCAUAUCUCCAAACCCCACAUAAGUACAGGUUGGCACUGAGGUAAAAUCAAAUGACAGCAAGUUUCUUUCUCAGUCCAGGAAAGCCGAGAAUAUGCUACAUGGAUAGAACUGUCCCAUGUUUAAAUUCAUUUCCCCACUGAGAGACAAGCAUGGUGGCAAAAGCCAGGCGCCAACUUGGGCCAUCUGAGAAAACUCAUUUCAAAACUGCAAAGAAUCCUUUUCCCAGUGGGGUUCUGUUCAACAAUUCCUAUAAUCUGCCAACAAGCUGCUUGGAAGCAGUUGCUUAAAUGGAAGAGUAAAAGGCAUGCAAGCAAAUGACUUCUGAGCACUUACAGACGUUUCUGUCAGGAAGCUGCUGAACUGACUGAUGUGUUCAUUUUCACGCUGCUUGACCUCUAAUGUGGAGCUGCUGCUGGCACCUGGUUUCUUUCAGUACAUUAAUUGAUUACGAUGAGUCCAGCUAGUGAGCUAGCUGAGAAGUGCUGCCUUUAAAGGUAACUCCUACAGCAGCAAAGUCCUCAGCUGAUGAGUAACUGAUGGAACAGCUCAGAGAACCAUUCCUGUUGCCUGGCAAAAUCUAACUCUCCGGAAUACUAUGUAUUCUACCCAUUUAAUUGCAAGUGAUUUUCUACACUUCCUGCUAUUCCUGUCCCCUUACUGAUGAAAACGUGACUUUAACAAGAUGGAGAUAUUAAAACUCAAAGUUUAGUAACUGCUGUAAGAGGGUAUUUUGCAGCAAGAUGGCUGAAGGGCUCCUCCAGAUCUCAUCUUCUAGAGGUUCUACUAAACAAAGAGAUCUGAGGCAGAAAACUGGAUUGUUUCUGUGUCAGGAGUGGAUUCACAACAGUCUUUCCUCCCGCUGUGAGGGUCAGCAUCCUUCAAAUGUGCCACUACUUUCAGUGAAAAUCCUCAUGUGCUUAAUAGCAAGCACAUGUACUCAUUUGUUUAUUUCCAACAUUUGUAACUAAUAUUCAACCUCAAAAAGAAAAUUGGAACAUUUUUAAAACAGGGUAAUCUUAAAAACCCUGCCUAAACAUUUUUCUUCCUCCACAUUACAUUUAUCCAUACAAAAACUGAACUUGCAUCGGCAGGAUGGGAGCUUAAGUUUUGGUCUUGUAAUUUAAGGUAUACAGAGAUUGUAAGCUGAACCAACUAACCCAAAGGUUAUGUACAUUGUGUGCAAAUACAUCAGAAAAAUCUACUGAAAUAAAAAAUUACUUAGUUGACAAGGAACAGAAUAUUUUUGCCUUUUUUUUAAGAAACCAUUCAGCUUUUCCUAAACAUUUUCCAGUGAGAACUGUUUGAGAACAACGUGCAUGUUUUAUUCCUCCUGUACCAUGUGCUCAACAAUGAUUUUUUUUACUUUCUAGAAUACUUAGCAUACAUACCCUUGAGAAGGAAGAGACUGUUUUAACUGAAUUUGAGCCUUAACAGGAUUAGAGCAAAUUCUAUCACUUUUUAAAGCAGUAAUCAAAAUGCACUACUAGAAUCCGUACUGACAUUAAAGAAAAAUCUUUAAGAAAUUCCUCAAUUGUAUCCUAAUAGAAAGUAAAAACCUAUGGCAAAAAAAUACAGUUCAGCAUUGUCCUUCCUGAAGUAGAUUCUCAAGUUUCCACUAAAUUUAGAUGCACUUGUGAUGACUUCAAAACUCUCACUACUCAUUGUCAAAGCGUUCAGUAACUGGUCAGUAUAAGCAUGUGCUUUUUGUUUUACUUCAAUUUCUUCAAAUUGAAAAAGAAUUCCUUUUACCUGGUGUUGUCCAGCAAGACAGUUAAAAAGCAGGAUGCACACCCAGAAAGUCAGAAAAAAUAAUUUCAAAAAAUCCUGUUUUUGAUGUGUUACUAAAGCAUAGCGUAGGGACUAUGUAAGUUUAGGCUUGUAUGCUGGCUCUCCAUUGACUUCUGCUAGUCCUCAGGGAACUUCUCAGCGCUGUUCCUCUUUUAUCAUUCCCGGUCACUGUCUCACUUCUCCAUACAGACUUCAAGACUCAGAUAUGAAUAAAAAAUGGUUAAAAUUGGGGUUCCAGAGUAUAAAAUGUUCAAAAUUUGGCAACUCGUUCCAAAGAAAUAAAUGUGAAAAUUCUGCUCAGAACCUCACUGUGCAUAGAUUUCCAAUAAAUCAGCUUUCUAUUCUAAUUUUCCCUCUAAUUUUGAUUCUAUGCAUGCUGAGAAUUGACUGACUCUUGCCAACAUGAAGACAGCAGGGACUGAGCCUAUACAGCAGCAUUCAGAAAAUGCAAGUUCUGCAUAAGAUCUGCUAAGAUUUACAUACUGCAGCUAAAGGAUUGUGCUUAAGGAAUACAGUGCUGGCCACCACUUUCCUUUGUAACAUCUCUAGAGAAGCAGAAAGUUCUGUGUCGCAAGCAAGAGGGUGUUCUCAUGAUGGAGGAUGAUCUGGGUACAGAGCCCAACUCCUGUUUUUGAAGACUGAUGUACCUCCUGCUUUCUUCGUGACUACUUGGCAUACGCCAUCUGACACAGGCCUGACUCACGCUACUUUGCAAACAACUGAAUUUGUUAGCACCCAAAAAAGGCCAAAUAAAGCACUGAUAAGGGACCCAUGUCUGUAGGCCAGUGGUUAGGGUGAUUAGAUGGCUCAGCACCCUUAUCCAAUGAUUGCUGGGAAAUAACAUUGGUGCUUUUAGCUAAUUUUAAAUUACUGUCUUGCUAAUAUAAUUUAUCUGAUACAAGUUUUGUGUGACAGCAUCAUCACUCUUUAUUUGUGAUAGAAAAAGCCAAGCAAAAUGGAGAUGCCUAGGAAGCAUAUACCAGUUCAUGACAAGGGAAAUCAUCACAAGGAAUCCAGUCCACACAACUGUAUUCUCAAUUUCUGAAUAAUUUCCCAUGAGAACUGUAUGUUUUCCAGCACCCGCAAAGUAUUAGAACUUCUGCUUCUCCCAUUUCACUCAAUGGAGAGCACAGAUUUGAGUCUUACUUACCAUAGAUGCAUAUGACAGCCUGCAGAAAUGGGCAAUAUGAGACUGCAGUAAAACUAAACUUUUUUAAUACUGCAGCAUCCACAUAAGUUCAAUAUCAGUUAAGCCAGAGAACUGUUCAGAAUUAGUCUGGGAAGCAGGACUGUAAUACCAGCUUUACCUCCGGUGACAUUUUUGUGAUUUUUUUUAUAUGGAGGUAAUUAUUUUAGGAAAUAUCUCCUAUCCUUAGAAAUAAAUUUGCAUUAUCAUAAGAGUAUUAAUGUUAUUGCUCAUUGCAUGGGCAUUGUUAGACACAUAAAUUCAAUAUUGAGCUAUGACUUGCUACAGGACCUUUAGUAUUUCCUUGCAUUCAAGUACACCAAAUAAAAUCCUAUAUUAUUAUGAAAUGUUAAACCUAAAAAGAUGCAGCUGUAAUAAAACUGUAAAUAUAAAUGUAUUUAUUCUUGGUGCUGGAAUCAUGGUUCUGAGACCUGUCCUAGAGGAAGGUAUGAGAGCCCUCUUUGUUCUUCCUGAUCUCAGUAAAUCAGCCUCCAGGGCACAGUGCUGUUUAAUGAAGGUGCUUCAUAGAGCAACAUGUGGAUGAGUAUUAUCUUUCUAGAAUAAUAUAAGCGUGCAGUCAUUGAGGUGGCUAUGUAAAAAAAUCGGCAAGUCUAGAAAUUUUAAUUUACCUGGAAAUAGCUGUUAUUCUCUAAAAUAUAAACCAUAGAGAUAUACGGAACUACAAGGACAUGAGCAUCUUGGACAUUUCAGGCUGGCUGAAAAGUGAAUAAUUGCCCAAACAGAAGUACAAAAUUGCCUACAAAGUUCUUCUCUUCUAGUUUCUAUGAAUGCAGAGCCCUUUUACACAGAGUAUCCAACAAAAAAUUCAUACAUAUAGGUUGCCUAAAGGAUUAUGAGGUUACAAAAGUAUUCCUCAAACAAAAAUUUAUGGAAAGAUUAAAUUAUUCUGUUGAAUAUCUCUCCUAUAGCAUAAAAUAGAAAUGUUUUCCAGAUUAAAUUAAUUCAAGAGGGAGCAUAAUGGGUUUUGCUUAUGCAACAAUGGAAAGCACAGAUCUUGUUUACUGGGAAUACAGAAAUAAAAUAGCUUUAAUCUUUUUUUUUUUUCUGAUGAGAUAUGUUUUUUUUUUAGUGGGAAUCUUAUGAGAAUUCUGCUCUGAAUAAGAACAGAUAACUUAGCAGUAUUCUUACCAAGAAAGAUCACCCUACAUUUCUCUCUCUAUUUUUACCUCUAAUUAUGAAAGGUGUGAAAAUCUUGUAGAAGGUCAAGCUAAAUGUUCUGAUCUCACUUAGAGCUUGCUGCUUUUUUUCCCUUAUUAAUGAGACCAAGUGGUAAUAUAAGUAAGUGGCCUUUUUAAGGAAAGGGUUGGCAACACAGAAAAUUAUUUUUAGAAAUAUAAGUCAUUUUUUUAUCAUGCAAAUGCCUACAAACAGGGAAUUUGGUUUUACUUCUACCACAGUCAAUUGGAAACCUCACGGGUGUCUAUUUAUCUACCUAUUAACUCUCCAGAGUUCAUUUAGUAAAAGCUGAUUAAUGUUCUUGGUAAUGCGUUCAUUAUAAUGGCUCUUUCUCCUUGGUAAAGGAGAGUCACAAGUCUCAACUAAUCAGUAGAACAAAUUGGCCUUAAUCUCUUGUCAACUACUAAUCCGAUAUUUCUAUCAAAGUAAUAUGAGCUUAUUUUGAAAUAAAAUCAGAUUAUACAUCGGGAAAACUGAUACACGUACGAUACUACGUAUUAAAGCUAUUUGUUAACAACGUUAAUCUGCUUCUGGAAUAGGAGAGAGAAUAAAACGCCACACAAAAGACAAUGUUUCAUUGUUAGACAAUGAAAGCCAAUUGAUGAAGUUUUUCCUUCCGUCUCCACUGUUGGAAGUUAUUAAUCACCUUCUUUUUAAUAGAAAACAUGUACUGCACGUGUGGUAGAAGACUGUUCUUUAUAAAAAUGCAAACUUUCAACUGAGAAAUGUGAAAAGACCAAUGUUCCCAACAGAUUCUUUUCAAUCAUACCAGUAAUUGAGGAAAUGACUUUGUGGGAUAUAUGGUUGGUUCACAACAAACUGAAGACAUUCUACAUAUGAAAGUAGCACUUCAGACCCUAGUUUCAAUACUCUAUAAACUACACAGAAUACAUAAUUUUAAGACACACGCAGAAAAUAAAAUCUCACUCAAAACAUAUGGACACAAAUCUCUGCAGGCAUUACUGCACUAUUACGUAUCAAGUCAUGACAUUACAUGCGUUCUCUUUUAUUACAUAUUUUAAUAGAUGUCAGCUAUUGUAGUCACAUUCCUAUCUAUGCCAUGGCAUUCUCAAAUGCUGAGAAUGUACAGAACUCUGUACAUGUGACUGAAUGUGCACACAGGAAAUGUUUUAAAAUGUAUGGGUCACAGUGUGGUCUACCAGAUAAAAAAUCUUUUGAAAACAAACUGCUCAGGCAGUUUAUAAGCACAGUGGGCCUUAGCUAACUAAAGAAGGCAAAACAUUUGUCAGGAGAUACAUGUCAGCUAAAUAAGGUAUCUGCCUAUCUGCCUGGCAGAGAUUUGAGUUAGAAGCAAGACAGGAUAAUCUGAAGAGGACAAAGAUUUCACCCAUGAACUGAAUUUAAUGGAAGGCUACAGGUUUGCACCUGUAUGCAAGCCUGGUCAUCAGUUCUCUUGGGACUGUCUAGCAGGAAACAACUGAAUUCCAGAUGUGAGCAGCUGAGCAGACAGCACUGAGAUGCUGGUUGGGAUCUGCAUUUUGUCUUUGAUUUACCUUGUAAAGGAAGCCAGCUAUUCCACCAGGAGAAAUGCCUGUGGAAUUAAGACCUGAAGGUCACAACAUAAACUCCUCCUAACCUGCCAGCCUUCUAGGAAUGAUAUCUUGAAUCAUGUGUUGGGAUUAUUCCUUCAGUGAUUUUUUGUAGCAGUGAAAACAUACUGGAAUCAGAACUAAGGUCAAGUCUCAUUCACCUUGUCAAAUCUACUCUAUAGUAUCCUGUAUUUUACUAAAGUCUUAAGUAAAACUUAUCUUAAGUACAAUUACUUUUGUGUCACACAACGAUUAACUUGAUUCCAAGGAAAAAUAAAUUACAGAGAUUUCCAGGCUUUGUUUUUAAAUUGCUUUGAAAUAAAUCACAAAAUACAGAUCCUGUAUAUUCUCACACCUAAAUCUUUCAUUAAGUCAAAUAAUAUCACAACUAGCAGUGCUGCUGCUACAAAUUUUAACGAGGAGAUCUAAUAUGAAAUGGAAAAUAAAUAAAUAAAUAAAUUGCAAUGCUUCCUUAAACAAAAACGUUAAGCAGAAAAUGAGUUUUGUCUAUUUGGAGUCAUUGUGUUCUGUAUUCCAGUGGUCUUAACACCGGCAGUUUUUCUGUUAUUUCUUUUCCCUUAAGGAGAGUGAUUCACAGGGCACCAUUUUUAAGAUCCUUUCAUGUGAUGGGUCUGAGAACACCUCACCCAUAUGUACUGGACACUUGGAUUCUCUUGGCAAGAUCAAUAGAAACGGUCAGUUCUUAGUGUCUGUGUCAAUGAAAUCAGGUCAGCCCAACUUCCUAAAUUUUUAUUCUGCUCUCAUAAAUUACCUCUGAUGAACUUGUUCAGUAGAGUUAAUCGAUUAGCAGUUUUCUAGGCAUUUUAAGGCUGCAUUAUAUCUCUGAGGAGCAUACAACAUUGCUUCUACUGCUUAUCCAAGUUUUUGUCAUAUUUCAGAUGUAUUCAAUCUGCUCCUUAGAGCAGAUUGUGUCUUCCAACACAAAAUAGACACUAAUCAUAACUGAAUGAAAUCAAAAUGCUUUUGGUGGAUAAUAAAUUAUAUCAUUGUUAAUAUUAAUACAGCUACUCCUUUUCAUCCCACCUAGAACAACAGAUCAAAAUACCCUUUAUUCAAAAGACAAAGAGUUCCUACCAGAAUACACUAGAAAUACAGACUAGAAUAAGAAGUACUUUUGGUUAUAUGUAUUUCGUGUGUCGAUAUAUAGUACUAUGCCAUAUAGCAGAAGUAACAUAAAAUUAAAUUGAAAUGACAGUAAAAAUUGAUCUUUUAAGGAAUUUAUACUAUGCCAUAUAACAGAAACAACAUAAAAUUAAAUCAAAAUGACAGUAAAAAAUGAUCCAUUAAGGCAUUUAUUGUAUGCCUGAUUCACAUGUAUGACAGCAGCUAUAAUGACCCAUUUUCAAAAAUUUCUGGCAUAGUUUUAGUUAUAAAAUAUGAAUGAAGAAAACCAUUGAAACACAAUUAUGCCUAACAAGACACUAAAAAGAAAGUAUUGAAAAAAGAAAGUAAGUAGGCACUUACUGACUUCAAUGAGAAAAAAUCUUAUAAGAAAAGUUACUGUAGUAUGAUCACAACUUUAUUAAUAGUAUUGUUAUUUCAUGAUACUGACAUGCUAAGUAAGGAGACGCAUAGCUGACUAAUCAAAGAGUAUAUCUUCAUAAACUACCCAAGAACCCUUUAUAAUUUGACCAGUUUGUAUACAGUAACAGUGCCUUGCAAGUGGAGCAUCCCCUGCCUCUCAGUUCCAGCAAAUUUACUUACAGGAAGUUUACAGCACAUUCUGUAUUUCAAUACCAGGCCUUGUAUUAGUGCCUGUGCCAACACAACUCCUUGCUCAGGCACUUACCAUCUGAAAACAGGAACAGGAUGAGAUAAAAUAGGCAAUAUUUAUGAAUUCAUUACAUGCAGUAAUUGCAAGUUUUAAAACUCUGGCAUUCUUGUAUAACACAUGCCCAGUAUUCUCCUUAAGAUUUCUUGAUGGAUGCUGAAGACAUGCAGGACAAAACUUCUUGAUAUGACCUGCCCCUCACCUACACAACAGACCACUGCGUUGUCUUACCGUAGACACAGUGUUGGAGGUUCUCCUGACAUGUGGCCACCAGCUUACUUAUUGUAUCACCAGCAUGUUUGUAUGACCCAACUAUUUCAACGAUGCAUGUUCCUGCCCCUGUGAGAUACAGCCCCAUGGCUACCAGACAGGCCACUUCAGGUCCUGGGACAGAGACAGCCUGGGUGCACCCCAGGAACUGGUGUGCAGUAACAGCUGUACAAAGCAGCCUAUACCCAGCCUACACACAAGGGGCCUUUUCAGAAGGAGCAGCAGGAGCUGCUUUGGCUGUAGAGCCCUGGUAGGCUGAGUGCAGGCCUGAAUGCAGAUAUCUCUCAGGGAGCAGCUGAGGGAGAAGUGCUGCUAGCCAGAACCAUGCGGGCUCUAGGGUUUCUGCUGCAGGAGACAUACAGCCCUGACAUACAAUUCAGCAGUCACGAGUUUUUCCCCACAAGAAUACCCACUCACACUCAGUGGGUCAAGAGACCUUGAGAAGUUUUGAAAGAGUCACAUUUCGCCAUUUUUCCGUAGCUUGAGUACCUAUCAAUUGUUGGGAAAUUGAUUAGAUAAAACAGAGGAACUUCAGAUUAAAAGUAUUAUCCCAAAUAACUAAAUCAACUUGGCAUCUAAAACAAAUCUAGGCAAGCCACACAGUGAUACUGAUUCUCUUUAGCGCUGAUAUUUAUAUUUGAACAACACACAGAGAGCUGAGAGCCUUCAUUUAGUAUCUUUUAGAGUAAAUGAUGAACACAGACCAGAACUAAUAAGGUAGUGCAAUGUGUAUGACUUGAUAUCCAUGUACAUUAAUACAGUUAUAUACUCAUGUACUAUCACAUGAGCAAAAUCAUAGAUUCCUGUGUGAGUGGUUACUGUUUUUGGUUGUCUUUACACAGAUAUUUAACAGAUCUGUGUAAAGAUUACUUCACAUUUCCCAUUCAUUUGAGCUAAGAGAAAACAGAAACGUAUGUGAAACUGCCACUUCAAUAACCUCCAAGUGAGCUGUUAAAUGAGGAGACUGCUGCAAAGACUUGCUUACUGAUGGAUUCAUCAGUGUCUGCAUGAUUUUCAGAGCGUUCCAGGUGUGUGUUCUUUACCCUCUGCUUCUUCAUUCCUUCCUGACUCUUCCCAUAUUUUGCUUAGGUAUUGAACAUAUAAGUCAUGUAUAUAACUUGAAAUAUAUAAAUAUAUGUAUGUGCACACAUAUAACAUACUUAAUUGCAUUUUUAUAUAUGUACAUAUAAUAUGUAUAUGUAUUCAAAUAUAAGUAAUAAUUUUCCAUAUAAAAUACACUUGUCCUAUAUAGAUUCCUUAAUUGUUAAUGAGAGCUUUUCAGAGUGCAUUAUAUGGAUUUUCCCUGGAACAGGAGAAAUAAAAAAAAUUGUAUAAGAUUUUAAAUGCUUUAGGUAUCAGACAGAAAAACUCUCCACCUUCCCUAGAUAAAAUAUUUCAGUAUUAAAUUUUAACUGACAAACAAAAAUGAGGAAAAUAUUUACUGAUACUGAAUAUGCCUGUAGGGUGAAAAGAAAGGUAUUAAAAAUAAUAAAACCACUCUACUUAUGCACUAAAAUACAACAUAACAUUUGGUUCAUGGAAAUUAUUUUGUUUCAAAGUAAGAGUGCAUGUUCAAAUGUGAGAGAAGAACGUGCUGAAAUAAACAGACUCUGUAUGUUACAAAAGAGAAGGAAUUUUGCAACUGCAUUUCAGCGACCCUUCACAAACUCCCAUUCAGAGUUCCCAAAAAUGUAAGAACAGCAUCUCAAGUUGGCUCCUGGGAAGCAAAGGAAUUGUUAAGUAGGGUCCAGCAAGCAGAAAAUACAAGCCUCAGUCCAACCUGAAAAGGAUUUCUGCUAAAAACCAAGUUUAGUGAAUGUGCAGUUAAAAAAAAAUGCUUGAGCAUUUUCUUCUUUCGCUAGAAUAUUGUUGAUCAGGCAACUUCAACAGGACAGCCAAAUGAAUAAACCGCAACAAAUGCAUAUUAUGCACAUUGAAAUGAUGACACCAGAGGGAAAAAAAAGAGCCAGUUCCUACCAGUUUG